UUGCGCUAUUAGUGGUAGGGCUGAUUAUUUGUAUACUUGUAGUGCUGUAUGUUUGGUUCAGUACAUCUAAAACGGCUAAUAGCUACGGCGAUUUUCCUACAUAUGGUGCAUCAAAUCCUCUUUUAGUUUUUUGGCAGUAUUAUCAACAAGUACGAAACUUCAAACGAUUUCCAUUACCCGCGCUUUUCUUAAAGUUAGUUACGGCCAACGCUUACCUGUUCCAGUCCGAAGGGAUAUUCAAAUUCUUUAUUGGAUUUACUCCUUAUGUUUGCAUUUACAAAACAGACUAUGUCAAGACAAUCCUUAGCAGCAGAAUUGCCGAUGAUAAAUCUGAUGAUUAUGCUCUCUUUGAAUCUGUUU
Molecule: long non-coding RNA, 360 nt
Organism: Stegodyphus dumicola
Lineage: Eukaryota; Metazoa; Arthropoda; Arachnida; Araneae; Eresidae
Source: RefSeq, a predicted model, not a curated record